AUUGAACGCUGGCGGCAUGCCUUACACAUGCAAGUCGAACGGUAACAGGUCUUCGGAUGCUGACGAGUGGCGAACGGGUGAGUAAUACAUCGGAACGUGCCUAGUAGUGGGGGAUAACUACUCGAAAGAGUGGCUAAUACCGCAUGAGAUCUACGGAUGAAAGCAGGGGAUCGCAAGACCUUGUGCUACUAGAGCGGCCGAUGGCAGAUUAGGUAGUUGGUGGGAUAAAAGCUUACCAAGCCGACGAUCUGUAGCUGGUCUGAGAGGACGAUCAGCCACACUGGGACUGAGACACGGCCCAGACUCCUACGGGAGGCAGCAGUGGGGAAUUUUGGACAACGGGCGAAAGCCUGGUCCAGCAAUGCCGCGUGCAGGAUGAAGGCCUUCGGGUUGUAAACUGCUUUUGUACGGAACGAAAAGCCCCGGGUUAAUACCCUGGGGUCAUGACGGUACCGUAAGAAUAAGCACCGGCUAACUACGUGCCAGCCGCCGCAGUAA
This 498-nucleotide ribosomal RNA is filed under the name uncultured bacterium. Its description in RNAcentral is "partial 16S ribosomal RNA". It matches the Rfam family "Bacterial small subunit ribosomal RNA", at positions 30 to 523 of the family's 1533-position model. The record is from RNAcentral.